UGGGGAAUAUUGGACAAUGGGCGAAAGCCUGAUCCAGCCAUGCCGCGUGUGUGAAGAAGGUCUUCGGAUUGUAAAGCACUUUAAGUUGGGAGGAAGGGCAGUUACCUAAUACGUAAUUGUUUUGACGUUACCGACAGAAUAAGCACCGGCUAACUCUGUGCCAGCAGCCGCGGUAAUACAGAGGGUGCAAGCGUUAAUCGGAAUUACUGGGCGUAAAGCGUGCGCAGGCGGUUAUGUAAGACAGAGGUGAAAUCCCCGGGCUCAACCUGGGAACUGCAUCCAAAACUGGCAAGCUAGAGUAUGGUAGAGGGUAGUGGAAUUUCCCGUGUAGCGGUGAAAUGCGUAGAUAUAGGAAGGAACACCAGUGGCGAAGGCGACUACCUGGACUGAUACUGACACUGAGGUGCGAAAGCGUGGGGAGCAAACA
This 427-nucleotide ribosomal RNA is filed under the name uncultured bacterium. RNAcentral describes it as "bacterial SSU rRNA". It matches the Rfam family "Bacterial small subunit ribosomal RNA", at positions 355 to 774 of the family's 1533-position model. The record is from RNAcentral.